GGUGAGAACUGGGCUUCCCGGCUACGUUUUGCUGGUUUUCCCUGCGUUGCCUUAACCGGUCGCGUAGGGUGGCUAGCGAGUUUACUUUGAAAAAAUUAGAGUGCUUCAAGCGGGCUUUAAGUCUGAAUACUCGUGCAUGGAAUAAUAGAAUAGGAUCUCGGUUCUAUUUUGUUGGUUUUCUGAAUUGAGAUAAUGGUUAAGAGGGACAGACGGGGGCAUUCGUAUCGCUACGUGAGAGGUGAAAUUCUUGGACCGUAGCGAGACGCACGACUGCGAAAGCAUUUGCCAAGAAUGUCUUCAUUAAUCAAGAACGAAAGUCAGAGGUUCGAAGGCGAUCAGAUACCGCCCUAGUUCUGACCGUAAACGAUACCAACUAGCGUUCCGCCGCUGGCAAACACGCCUUGGCGGGCAGCUUCCCGGAAACGAAAGUUUUUCGGUUCCGGGGGAAGUAUGGUUGCAAAGCUGAAACUUAAAGAAAUUGACGGAAGGGCACCACCAGGAGUGGAGCCUGCGGCUUAAUUUGACUCAACACGGGAAAACUCACCUGGCCCGGACACCGUGAGGAUUGACAGAUUGAGAGCUCUUUCUUGAUUCGGUGGUUGGUGGUGCAUGGCCGUUCUUAGUUGGUGGAGUGAUUUGUCUGGUUUAUUCCGAUAACGAGCGAGACUCUAGCCUGCUAAAUAGAACGAGGAUAAACCUUUUCAUAGGUCCUCGAUGCUUCUUAGAGGAAUUAGCGG
RNAcentral lists this ribosomal RNA (737 nucleotides) under uncultured eukaryote. Its description in RNAcentral is "SSU rRNA". It matches the Rfam family "Eukaryotic small subunit ribosomal RNA", at positions 671 to 1426 of the family's 1831-position model. The record is from RNAcentral.